Long non-coding RNA from Coregonus clupeaformis (lake whitefish), 784 nucleotides. RefSeq lists it as uncharacterized. Lineage: Eukaryota; Metazoa; Chordata; Actinopteri; Salmoniformes; Salmonidae. The record is from RefSeq and is a predicted model, not a curated record. The transcript is spliced from 2 exons.
UGAGCAAAUUGUGAGUUUUGGUGCGGGUCUGAAAGUGAAUGCUGCUACCAGGAGGUCCCUCGCCUCCACUGGACCUCACAACUUUGACAGCUGUCAUGGAGAUCAGGACAACAAUAUUAAGGACACUGGUGGACUGUCAGCUCUCAGAUCUUCGUGAGGAGGACAACAGACAUGUCACCUGUGCACCAGGCAGUCAAUAGAAGCUGUCCCCCCAUGGUGUCAAAGACAGACAGGGGCUGGAGAGACAGGACCACAUGCUGCCGAGGGACAAUCACGUCCUCAUCCUCACAGCCUAGGUGAACGUCAAUGUACUGGAGGACUACUCUAGAAAUUGUUGGCUUUUUUAUUUUUUUUUACAGGAAGGAUAGAAAGGAGUAUAUGACGUGAUUUGUUUGUGUUGCACCAGAAUGCAAGAUAAAGCAGUUAUGCAUCGUAGGGGAGCAAAAUGGUGUUAGGUUGGGGUACUGCAGUGAGUGACCCAUUGCAGACACAGGCACUAGUAAAGGGACUCCUAGUCUUCACCCAGUAGCUCAGAUUGUCACUGGGGUCAUUUAGCCUCCCCCUUGCAUGCUUUUCAUUUGUUCCAAUUCUGACUCAUCAUGUAAUAGGCUAUAGGCCUAGUCGAAUGUAUGCACAGAAUAAAUUGAAGUUGUUAAAAGCCAAUUAUUGUUGUCAUAUGCCUUAUUAUCAGAUUUUGUAAUUCAGAUGUUCUAUGUGACUUGCACUGUGUUUUCAGGUUUGAAUGAGACGAUGUAUUGCUCUCAAUAAAGUUAUUUCAAUAACG